This 77-nucleotide transfer RNA is filed under the name Candidatus Omnitrophota bacterium. RNAcentral's name for it is "tRNA-Arg". The record is from RNAcentral. Lineage: Bacteria; Pseudomonadati; Candidatus Omnitrophota.
GCGCCUGUAGCUCAAUUGGACAGAGCACGUGCCUUCUAAGUACGGGGUUGGGUGUUCGAUUCACCCCAGGCGCGCCA